UGGGGAGUAGCUCAGUGGUAGAGCGCUCACCUCGCACGUGGAAGGCACUGGGUUCAAUCCUCAGCACCACAU
This 72-nucleotide transfer RNA is filed under the name Ictidomys tridecemlineatus (thirteen-lined ground squirrel). RNAcentral describes it as "Spermophilus tridecemlineatus (thirteen-lined ground squirrel) tRNA". It matches the Rfam family "tRNA". From Rfam's summary of the family: Transfer RNA (tRNA) molecules are approximately 80 nucleotides in length. Their secondary structure includes four short double-helical elements and three loops (D, anti-codon, and T loops). Further hydrogen bonds mediate the characteristic L-shaped molecular structure. tRNAs have two regions of fundamental functional importance: the anti-codon, which is responsible for specific mRNA codon recognition, and the 3' end, to which the tRNAs corresponding amino acid is attached (by aminoacyl-tRNA synthetases). tRNAs cope with the degeneracy of the genetic code in two manners: having more than one tRNA (with a specific anti-codon) for a particular amino acid; and 'wobble' base-pairing, i.e. permitting non-standard base-pairing at the 3rd anti-codon position. The record is from Rfam by way of RNAcentral. Lineage: Eukaryota; Metazoa; Chordata; Mammalia; Rodentia; Sciuridae.